CCUAUGCUCUGGAAUAACCUCGGGAAACUGAGAUCAUACCGGAUAGAUCACAACGCCUGGAACGGUGUGUGGUUGAAAGAUUACGGCAUAGGAUGGGUCUGCGGCGUAUCAGGUUGUAGGGGGUGUAACGGACCUCCUAGCCAUCGACGCGUACGGGUGUUGGGAGACAUAGCCCGGAGAUGGAUUCUGAGACACGAAUCCAGACCCUACGGGGUGCAGCAGGCGCGAAAACUUCACACUGCAGGAAACUGUGAUGAGGGAACUCCAAGUGCGCGCACUUAGUGUGCGCUUUUGUUGACUAUUAAUCGGUCAAUGAAUAAGGGCUGGGAAAGACCGGUGCCAGCCGCCGCGGUAAUACCGGCAGCUCAAGUGGUCGUCGCUUUUAUUGGGCCUAAAACGUCCGUAGCCUGUUUGGUAAAUCUGUGGGUAAAUCAACCAGCUUAACUGGUUGAAUUCUGCAGAGACUGCCAGACUAGGGACCGGGAGAGGUGUGGGGUACUCUAGGGGUAGGGGUAAAAUCCUGUCAUCCUUAGAGGACCACCAGUUGCGAAGGCGCCACACUGGAACGGAUU
RNAcentral lists this ribosomal RNA (572 nucleotides) under uncultured archaeon. RNAcentral's name for it is "bacterial SSU rRNA". It matches the Rfam family "Archaeal small subunit ribosomal RNA", at positions 113 to 691 of the family's 1478-position model. The record is from RNAcentral.